UCCGGCUUGUCACCGGCAGUUCCACUAGAGUGCCCACCCAAACGUGCUGGCAACUAGAGGCGAGGGUUGCGCUCGUUGCGGGACUUAACCCAACAUCUCACGACACGAGCUGACGACAGCCAUGCAGCACCUGUGCAGUAGGUCCCUUGCGGGAAAAGUACGUCUCCGUACCGGUCCUACCCAUGUCAAGAGCUGGUAAGGUUCUGCGCGUUGCUUCGAAUUAA
This 224-nucleotide unclassified non-coding RNA is filed under the name uncultured Alphaproteobacteria bacterium. RNAcentral's name for it is "contains 16S-23S intergenic spacer region". The record is from RNAcentral. Lineage: Bacteria; Pseudomonadati; Pseudomonadota; Alphaproteobacteria.